GUCCCCCUGCACUGGCACUGCAGCUAACCCACAUGCGGAUAGGCAGUGGCAUUCACCACUUUCCAGUCCAGCAACCAAGGCUGGCUGUGAGGCUCCUACCGACGUUCCUCCUCCGCCAGCUCUACUGAAUCAUCCAGCCCUUCCAGAAAAGGUCAUUAGAAAUGAAGAGGAAUACUGGAAUAUAACUUACAUGUUGUCCUGAGGACCUAAAUGGACAUGUGGCCACAAGAACUACCUGCGGAGGGGAGGCAGACCCCUUUAGAACCUCUCGGGUGGUCAACAAACCUAUCCUUGGGCUGACAUUUGGAAACUACUGAUCUAAUCUGAUCCUCUUAUUCUACCCAUCAAGAAGCUAUGCCCUUUAAAAAAUAAAUAAAAUUUUUAAA
Neofelis nebulosa (Clouded leopard) is the source of this 386-nucleotide long non-coding RNA. RefSeq lists it as uncharacterized. The transcript is spliced from 3 exons. NCBI's taxonomy places the organism in Eukaryota, Metazoa, Chordata, Mammalia, Carnivora, Felidae. The record is from RefSeq and is a predicted model, not a curated record.